CAGUCGCCGCGGGAACACAGAGGGUGCGAGCGUUAAUCGGAUUUACUGGGCGUAAAGCGUGCGUAGGCGGCUUUUUAAGUCGGAUGUGAAAUCCCUGAGCUUAACUUAGGAAUUGCAUUCGAUACUGGGAAGCUAGAGUAUGGGAGAGGAUGGUAGAAUUCCAGGUGUAGCGGUGAAAUGCGUAGAGAUCUGGAGGAAUACCGAUGGCGAAGGCAGCCAUCUGGCCUAAUACUGACGCUGAGGUACGAAAGCAUGGGGAGCAAACAGGAUUAGAUACCCCUGUAGUCCCUGUCUCUUAUAU
Molecule: ribosomal RNA, 301 nt
Filed under: uncultured bacterium
Lineage: Bacteria
Description: partial 16S ribosomal RNA
Rfam family: Bacterial small subunit ribosomal RNA
Source: RNAcentral